This 372-nucleotide long non-coding RNA is filed under the name Dromaius novaehollandiae (emu). RNAcentral describes it as "lncRNA (ENSDNVG00000011044.1)". Lineage: Eukaryota; Metazoa; Chordata; Aves; Casuariiformes; Dromaiidae. The record is from RNAcentral.
AACGGUCUCUAAACUGGAUCUAACUUCCCUAAAAAUUAAGAUCAACCAUUGCAAGAGUCACACUGACUGAACUGACUACCGCAAUGCCCUCGCCUCAGAUCUGGAUAUUUGUUCUUUCUCAGAAUUCAAAGAACAAACUCUUCAUCCUAAGAGAUUUCCUGGGCUCUGUAGGAAGCUUCCUUUUGCUCCUGGUGCACUGUUUUGCUCACAUCACUGCUACUGACUUCAAUGAGGACUCCAACCCAGUCUUUCUGAGGGUUUUUUAUCAGGCACUAAAGGCUUGUUUCAGUGAAAUGUUCUCCCUCAGACUCCAGAUGUCAGCAGUUCUUCAGGGUGAUAAAUCCUCUGCAGUAAGUGAGAUGGUGCUGAAGG